UACGUAGGGGGCAAGCGUUGUCCGGAAUCAUUGGGCGUAAAGCGCGUGUAGGCGGCUAGGUAAGUCUGCUCUGAAAGCCCGGGGCUCAACCCCGGGAGGCGGGUGGAUACUGUCUAGCUCGAGUCCGGAAGAGGAGUGUGGAAUUCCUGGUGUAGCGGUGAAAUGCGUAGAUAUCGGGAGGAACACCAGUGGCGAAGGCGACUUCCUGGCCUGUUCUUGACGCUGAGGCGCGAAAGCUAGGGGAGCAAACGGG
This 253-nucleotide ribosomal RNA is filed under the name uncultured bacterium. RNAcentral describes it as "partial 16S ribosomal RNA". It matches the Rfam family "Bacterial small subunit ribosomal RNA", at positions 524 to 776 of the family's 1533-position model. The record is from RNAcentral.